GAUGAACGCUAGCGGCAGGCCUAAUACAUGCAAGCCGAACGGUAAUUCUGAUAGCAAUAUUGGAACUAGAGUGGCGUAAGGGUGCGUAACACGUAUGCAAUCUACCCGCAACAGGAGGAUAGCUCCCCGAAAGGGGAAUUAACCCUCCAUGAGAUCACACGAGGGCAUCCGAGAGUGAUUAAAUUUGAGGAGGUUGUGGAUGAGCAUGCGACUGAUUAGCUAGUUGGCAGUGUAACGGACUACCAAGGCGAUGAUCAGGUAGGGGAACUGAGAGGUUNACUCCCCCANACUGGCACUGAGAUAC
This 304-nucleotide ribosomal RNA is filed under the name uncultured bacterium. RNAcentral describes it as "bacterial SSU rRNA". It matches the Rfam family "Bacterial small subunit ribosomal RNA", at positions 28 to 327 of the family's 1533-position model. The record is from RNAcentral.